Molecule: small nucleolar RNA, 134 nt
Organism: Camelus dromedarius (Arabian camel)
Lineage: Eukaryota; Metazoa; Chordata; Mammalia; Artiodactyla; Camelidae
Product: small nucleolar RNA, H/ACA box 67
Source: Ensembl
AACCAAGGUGAUUCCCUCUCCAAGGGGCCUACUAGUGCCUCUCUUCAGGAAAGUAGCAACUUGGAAUAAAAUCUGGCAUGCCUCAGGUUUCCAGGGGAGGAGAUUUUCUUUCCCUUCUUUGGCUGCCUACAUGU